This 87-nucleotide transfer RNA is filed under the name Candidatus Woesebacteria bacterium. Its description in RNAcentral is "tRNA-Ser". It matches the Rfam family "tRNA". From Rfam's summary of the family: Transfer RNA (tRNA) molecules are approximately 80 nucleotides in length. Their secondary structure includes four short double-helical elements and three loops (D, anti-codon, and T loops). Further hydrogen bonds mediate the characteristic L-shaped molecular structure. tRNAs have two regions of fundamental functional importance: the anti-codon, which is responsible for specific mRNA codon recognition, and the 3' end, to which the tRNAs corresponding amino acid is attached (by aminoacyl-tRNA synthetases). tRNAs cope with the degeneracy of the genetic code in two manners: having more than one tRNA (with a specific anti-codon) for a particular amino acid; and 'wobble' base-pairing, i.e. permitting non-standard base-pairing at the 3rd anti-codon position. The record is from RNAcentral. RNAcentral also lists the same sequence under 1 other name. Lineage: Bacteria; Candidatus Woeseibacteriota.
GGAGGUGUCGCAUAGUUGGUCAAUUGCACGGGCUUGCUAAGCCCGAGCCUUCGGGCUACGUGGGUUCGAAUCCCACCGCCUCCGCCA